Molecule: unclassified non-coding RNA, 266 nt
Filed under: uncultured fungus
Lineage: Eukaryota; Fungi
Description: sequence contains ITS1
Source: RNAcentral
UGGAUCAUUAUCAUAGAUAAUGUUAAAGUUAUUAAUGGUUUCUUUCAAGAAUGGUUUAUAGUUUUUCUUCACAAAGCGCAUUGCUAUGUGGUAAACGGGUUCUGUGUUGUCUCGGGCACACAAAAGUCUUCCACAGUUGCCUGCUUCGGAACUUUCGUUGGAAUAGUUUCCAGAAUCAACAGACGACGCGAAGCCAUCCAUAUCAUCCUUUCAUAUCCCAAAGGUUUGGAGUGGUAAUGAUCCUUCCGCAGGUUCACCUACGGAAA